UAGGGAAUCUUCGGCAAUGGACGAAAGCCUGACCGAGCAACGCCGCGUGAGUGAAGAAGGUUUUCGGAUCGUAAAACUCUGUUGUUAGAGAAGAACAAGGACGUUAGUAACUGAACGUCCCCUGACGGUAUCUAACCAGAAAGCCACGGCUAACUACGUGCCAGCAGCCGCGGUAAUACGUAGGUGGCAAGCGUUGUCCGGAUUUAUUGGGCGUAAAGCGAGCGCAGGCGGUUUCUUAAGUCUGAUGUGAAAGCCCCCGGCUCAACCGGGGAGGGUCAUUGGAAACUGGGGGACUUGAGUGCAGAAGAGGAGAGUGGAAUUCCAUGUGUAGCGGUGAAAUGCGUAGAUAUAUGGAGGAACACCAGUGGCGAAGGCGCCUCUCUGGUCUGUAACUGACGCUGAGGCUCGAAAGCGCGGGGAGCAAACAGG
RNAcentral lists this ribosomal RNA (429 nucleotides) under Gemmatimonadota bacterium. Its description in RNAcentral is "Gemmatimonadetes bacterium partial 16S ribosomal RNA". It matches the Rfam family "Bacterial small subunit ribosomal RNA", at positions 355 to 776 of the family's 1533-position model. The record is from RNAcentral. Lineage: Bacteria; Pseudomonadati; Gemmatimonadota.